AAUUCUCAACUUAUCCAUUUUUGUGGUGGAUAGGCUUGGACUUGGGGGUUUGCGGGCUUCACAACAAAGAAGUCGGCUCUCCUUAAAUGCAUUAGYGGGACCUUUUUGCUGACUUUGUUCCUAGUGUGAUAAUUAUCUACACUGCGGGCAGUUAGUGAUCAUUAAUGGGUUUUGCUUCUUUAUAACUCGUCCUCAGGACACUUGACAAU
This 209-nucleotide unclassified non-coding RNA is filed under the name Termitomyces sp. Group1. RNAcentral describes it as "ITS2". The record is from RNAcentral. Lineage: Eukaryota; Fungi; Basidiomycota; Agaricomycetes; Agaricales; Lyophyllaceae.